UGGGGAAUAUUGCACAAUGGGCGAAAGCCUGAUGCAGCGACGCCGCGUGAGGGAUGACGGCCUUCGGGUUGUAAACCUCUUUCAGCAGGGAAGAAGCGAAAGUGACGGUACCUGCAGAAGAAGCGCCGGCUAACUACGUGCCAGCAGCCGCGGUAAUACGUAGGGCGCAAGCGUUGUCCGGAAUUAUUGGGCGUAAAGAGCUCGUAGGCGGUUUGUCGCGUCUGCUGUGAAAACGCGAGGCUCAACCUCGCGCCUGCAGUGGGUACGGGCAGACUAGAGUGCGGUAGGGGAGACUGGAAUUCCUGGUGUAGCGGUGGAAUGCGCAGAUAUCAGGAGGAACACCAGUGGCGAAAGCGGCCUCCUGGACCAUUCCUGACACUCAGACGCGAAAGCUAGGGUAGCAAACG
RNAcentral lists this ribosomal RNA (407 nucleotides) under uncultured prokaryote. RNAcentral describes it as "bacterial SSU rRNA". It matches the Rfam family "Bacterial small subunit ribosomal RNA", at positions 355 to 774 of the family's 1533-position model. The record is from RNAcentral.